UUUAAUCUAUAAUAUUUGAAGAUUUAUAUGACUAUAUGAGAAAGCAUUGACUCGUUAGAAUUCUAUAUAAUUAAUGAGGUGGGUUAGGUAAAAAAAAUAAUACUAUUGAAAAGUUUUACCUGUUGCAUUAUGGGAAAUUUUCAUACAUGGCGGAAAAACUAUAAUAUAUUAUUAUUACUAUUAAUACACAUUUUUGAAUGUGUGCAUGUGAUGUGUCUGACCAAGUUAAAUCGGGUACUGUUUCUUCCAGACCUGUAUGUUGACCUUCGUGCUCUCAAGUAUACAAAUCUGUGUGGUGUUCUAAUUCUAUAUCACUAACAUUUGUUUUUUACAUUGUACUUUGCACUAUCGUAUACUUUUUUUUUAAAUUUCUCGCAAGUAUACCUUUUAUGUUAAUGUAAGUUUUUAAAAAUAUGUUUUUAUUAUAAAUAUAUCAAUAUACUACUGGAUACUAAAAU
This is a non-coding RNA of Biomphalaria pfeifferi, 458 nucleotides long. Lineage: Eukaryota; Metazoa; Mollusca; Gastropoda; Planorbidae. The record is from the annotation of a GenBank genome assembly.